Molecule: long non-coding RNA, 270 nt
Filed under: Mytilus galloprovincialis (Mediterranean mussel)
Lineage: Eukaryota; Metazoa; Mollusca; Bivalvia; Mytilida; Mytilidae
Source: RNAcentral
CGGCUGCCGAAUCACUAUCCCCCUGUCGAGUUUUCUGCGACAAAAGUCGGGAAGUAUUUGCUGCAUUAUGGGUUUCAUCAUUUUUUUCAUGAUUGGUAAAAUAAGCAAUAUGAAACUUAUAGUAAGCCUGAUAGUGAUAAGCAAUGAGAAAAUUCAUUUUUGGUCUGAUUUCGGGAGUCUCAGUCUGCAAUAUACAAAUGUACAUCUGCAUUUGCUUCUGAAUUAAUCUAGUAUCCUAAACAGCUGGUUUGCUUUAUAUCUGUCUGUCAG